UUUUUUUUUGAAACAGAGUUUGACUCUGUUACCCAGGGUAGAUUACAAUGGCGCGAUUUCGCCUUACUGCAACUUCCAUCUCCUGGGUUCAAGCAAUUCUCCUGUCUCAACCUCCUGUGUGGCUGGGAUUACA
Sapajus apella (tufted capuchin) is the source of this 133-nucleotide long non-coding RNA. RefSeq lists it as uncharacterized. Lineage: Eukaryota; Metazoa; Chordata; Mammalia; Primates; Cebidae. The record is from RefSeq and is a predicted model, not a curated record. The transcript has 2 exons.